AUACCGGCAGCCCGAGUGGUGAUCACUAUUAUUGGGCCUAAAACGUCCGUAGCCGGUCCGGUAAAUCUUCGGGUAAAUCGGCCGGCCUAACCGGUCGAAUUCCGGAGACACUGCCGGACUUGGGACCGGGCGAGGGCGGAGGUACUCCCGGGGGAGGGGUGAAAUCCUUUAAGCCCGGGAGGACCACCGGUGGCGAAGGCGUCCGCCUAGAACGGCUCCGACGGUAAGGGACGAAACCCUGGGGCGCAAACGGGAGUAGAAACCCUAGUAGUCC
RNAcentral lists this ribosomal RNA (274 nucleotides) under uncultured bacterium. RNAcentral's name for it is "partial 16S ribosomal RNA". It matches the Rfam family "Archaeal small subunit ribosomal RNA", at positions 473 to 747 of the family's 1478-position model. The record is from RNAcentral.